This 265-nucleotide ribosomal RNA is filed under the name uncultured bacterium. RNAcentral's name for it is "partial 16S ribosomal RNA". It matches the Rfam family "Bacterial small subunit ribosomal RNA", at positions 167 to 447 of the family's 1533-position model. The record is from RNAcentral.
UACCGGAUAAGUCUUUACGGAGAAAGCUUUAUGCACCAUUGGAUGAGCCCGCACUUGAUUAGUUUGUUGGUAGGGUAAUGGCCUACCAAGACUAUGAUCAAUAGCUGAUUUGAGAGGAUGAUCAGCCACAUUGGGACUGAGACACGGCCCAAACUCCUACGGGAGGCAGCAGUGGGGAAUCUUGCACAAUGGAGGAAACUCUGAUGCAGCGAUGCCGCGUGAGUGAAGAAGGCCUUUGGGUUGUAAAGCUCUUUCGUCGGGGAAG